UUGAGGAUUUUCCUUAAUAAAGGUGCAGAGGGCCCCACGGUCUGGAUCUUCCUUGUGCCUUAGUGAAGGGGUCCCAUGGAGGAAAGUGGGAUCAGGACUGAACUGGGUUUCCUUUUCAUAGCUGGCUCUCCUCUAUCUACGCCAUGGGACAGGCUUGCCAGAGGCUCCAACCCAUAAUCCUGUCUGAAUCCUUUCCGUGGUGACUCUGCCUCUGCUUUGUCAAGGGAUCAGUUUUCACCUGAGGACAAUGUGGGUGCCUGACUAUUUUCCCUGAUAAGUUCCAAGUCCUGAAUGACCUGUCACUGACUAACCUAUCUAAAAGUUGGUUAAGACUUUGACAUGUGAUUUUGUAAAAAAACAUCAAUUCUUCCUAACCGAAUUGAAAAAUUUAAUGUAAUGGCAAUAAAAAUGGUGAUAGAAUAGUUUUGAAACAGAACAAUCUAUGUGGAAAGUUUAUUUGGAAAAACAGACAUAUAAAAAGAGGUAGGAAAAUCUUGAAAUAGAAGUGCUACAAGGGGGAAAAGGCCAACAAGUAUAAUAGCUUUUUAUUUUCAAGUUAGAGUAAAAUAUAUUUCCUAUGGCUGCUGUAACAAAUUACCACAAACUAAGUGGCUUUAAACAACACAAGUUUAUUCUCUUACAGCUCUGGAGGUCAGAAGUCCAACAUGGGUGAGCAGCACUGGCUCCUUCUAAAGGCUCAUGGGAGAAUCCAUUUCUUCCUCUUCUAGCUUCCAGAGGCUGUCUGCAUUCCUCGGCUCCCGGCCCUUCCUCCAUCCCAAAACCAGCAGUGAGGCUCCUUCCGCUCCCUCCUCUCUGCCCGUUGCUUCCUCAUCUCCUUCCCUGAUGCUGACUCUCCUGCCCUUGAUGACACUGGGCUCACCUGGGUCCUCCAGGGUAUUCUCCUUGUGUCAGAACCCUUACGCGAAUCAUCUCUCUAUGUGCAGCUAACAUAUUCACAGGUUCUGGAGACUGAGAACAUUAUUCUAUCUAACACACAAACCAUUCUGAUUCUUAUAUAUUAAUAAAUCCAUCAAUGGAAUAAAUACAGAGGCUAGAAAUGUACUAAAAACCAUGCAGGAGUUUAGGGUAUAGUAAACGUGAUGCUUAAUAUAAGGCGUGGGGAAUGGAUCAUUCGAUAAAUAAUGCUAAAGGAAAAAUCCACCAAAAUCAAUUCCAAAUCAAUCAAUGAUUUAAAUUAAAGAAAUAUGAAAACCUGAAAAGGCCUGUGAGAUAAUGAGGGAAAAUUAUUUUCAUGAACUUUGAGACAGGAAGACCCUUCUAUGCCAAAUACAAAAUUCAGAAACCAUAUAUAAAACAAUUGAUAAUUUUGAAUACAGAAAUUUUAGCAUAAAAAGUAAAACAAUAAACAGAAAAACUGUUUGCAAGCUGGGCACAAUGGCUCAUGCCUGUAAUCUUAGCGCUUUGGGAGGACAAGACAGGAGGAUUGCUUGAACCCAGGAGUUCAAGACCAGCCUGGGCAACAUAGCAAGACCCUUCCCUACAAAAAAAAAAUUUAGCAGGAUGUGGUGGCACAUGCCUGUAAUCCCACCUACUCAGGAAACUGAGGUGGGAAGAUUAAUUGAGCCUGAGAGGUUGAGGCUCCAGUAAGCCAUGAUUGUGUCACUGCACUCCAGCCUGGGCAAUAGGGCAAGAUUCUGUCUCAAAAAGAAAAAAAGAAAAAAA
Molecule: long non-coding RNA, 1683 nt
Organism: Macaca fascicularis (crab-eating macaque)
Lineage: Eukaryota; Metazoa; Chordata; Mammalia; Primates; Cercopithecidae
Source: Ensembl